UAGGGAAUCAUCGGCAAUGGGGGAAACCCUGACCGUGCAAUGCCGCGUGAGUGAUGAAGGCCUUCGGGUUGUAAAGCUCUGUUGCGAAGGAAGAAUAGCCUAGAUAGAAUCUAGGUCUGACGGUACUUCGCCAGAAAGCCAUGGCUAACUACGUGCCAGCAGCCGCGGUAAUACGUAGAUGGCAAGCGUUAUCCGGAUUUAUUGGGCGUAAAGGGUGCUCAGCUGGUUUGUUAAGUUUGUAGUUAAAAUUCGAAGCUCAACUUCGAAGUGCUGCGAAAACUGAUGAACUUGAGUACAGGAGAGGGUAGUGGAAUUCCAUGUGAAGCGGUAAGAUGCGUAGAUAUAUGGAGGAACACCAGUGGCGAAGGCGGCUACCUGGCCUGUAACUGACGGUCAAGCACGAAAGCGUGGGGAGCAAAUAGG
This 423-nucleotide ribosomal RNA is filed under the name uncultured bacterium. Its description in RNAcentral is "bacterial SSU rRNA". It matches the Rfam family "Bacterial small subunit ribosomal RNA", at positions 355 to 776 of the family's 1533-position model. The record is from RNAcentral.